CCUACGGGAGGCAGCAGUGGGGAAUUUUGGACAAUGGGCGCAAGCCUGAUCCAGCCAUGCCGCGUGCAGGAUGAAGGCCUUCGGGUUGUAAACUGCUUUUGUACGGAACGAAAAGACUCUGGUUAAUACCUGGGGUCCAUGACGGUACCGUAAGAAUAAGCACCGGCUAACUACGUGCCAGCAGCCGCGGUAAU
This 194-nucleotide ribosomal RNA is filed under the name uncultured bacterium. RNAcentral's name for it is "partial 16S ribosomal RNA". It matches the Rfam family "Bacterial small subunit ribosomal RNA", at positions 338 to 524 of the family's 1533-position model. The record is from RNAcentral.